CGGUGAAAGAGGAGCUUGCUCCUCUGGAUCAGUGGCGAACGGGUGAGUAACACGUGAGUAACCUGCCCUUGACUCUGGGAUAAGCGUUGGAAACGACGUCUAAUACCGGAUACGAACCGUGGAGGCAUCUCCUGCGGUUGGAAAGAAUUUUGGUCAAGGAUGGACUCGCGGCCUAUCAGGUAGUUGGUGAGGUAACGGCCCACCAAGGCGACGACGGGUAGCCGGCCUGAGAGGGUGACCGGCCACACUGGGACUGAGACACGGCCCAGACUCCUACGGGAGGCAGCAGUGGGGAAUAUUGCACAAUGGGCGAAAGCCUGAUGCAGCAACGCCGCGUGAGGGACGACGGCCUUCGGGUUGUAAACCUCUUUUAGCAGGGAAGAAGCGAAAGUGACGGUACCUGCAGAAAAAGCACCGGCUAACUACGUGCCAGCAGCCGCGGUAAUACGUAGGGUGCAAGCGUUGUCCGGAAUUAUUGGGCGUAGAGAGCUCGUAGGCGGUUUGUCGCGUCUGCUGUGAAAACGCGAGGCUCAACCUCUCGCCUGCAGUGGGAUACGGGCAGACUAGAGUGCGGUAGGGGAAAUUAGAAUUGCUGGGUGUAGGGGGUGGAAGGCGCAGAU
RNAcentral lists this ribosomal RNA (620 nucleotides) under Labedella gwakjiensis. RNAcentral's name for it is "bacterial SSU rRNA". It matches the Rfam family "Bacterial small subunit ribosomal RNA", at positions 67 to 695 of the family's 1533-position model. The record is from RNAcentral. Lineage: Bacteria; Bacillati; Actinomycetota; Actinomycetes; Micrococcales; Microbacteriaceae.